AUGUUACAUGUUGGGGAGAGAGUUUGUCGUAAAAGUAGCUCGAAGGAAAAUAUAAAUGAUGAAACAAAGGGAAAACUAUUUUCACUCUCUGACGUUAUAGAGCAGAAUGGAGGGGUACUUUCUUGGGAGCUCGUUCACAAAUUGAAAUCAGCAAACAUUGAAAGAAAUAUACGCCCUGCUGCAGACAGGAUUCGUAGGUUACAAGAUGGGGAGAGAGUUUAUCAUAAAAGUAGCUCGGAGGAAAAUAUGAAUGAAGAAACUAAGAAAAAACUAUUGAAAGUUUCUGACAUAGUGGAGCAGAAUGGAGGUGCACUUUCUUGGGGAUUCGUCCACGAGAUGAAAUCGGCAAAAGUUGAAAUAAAUAUACGCCCUGCUGCAGCCAGCAUUCUUAUGUUACAACUUGGGGACAUGGUUCAUUUUAUGAGUAGCUCAGAGGAGACGACGCUCAUUUUUGACGAUACAGAUCAAUCGACCUACUAUGUUUUUUUAAGUAGCAAAAUUGAGAUCGACAAGAAAUCAAGUGUUCAUAUAAAAAUAGUGUUUAUCAAUGAUGACGGAAGUUUCAAAAUUAACGAAAACAAGACAGUUACCUUUGAGACCCAAUGAGAUUAACUCUUUAAUUCUUAGAUUUAGUUAUUUCUUCUGUUCGUCCUAAACUUGAGAUACGUAAGUGAUACACAUUAGUCGAAUUUCCGUGAGUGGAUUUGGUUAAGCUUUUAACUUAGUGCCAACCUCCGUCAUUAGGAUACGAAAUUCGACACACAGUGGAACGAGACAAUUAGAGAGGUCGGACAUGAAGUUUUUGACUAAAACUGCACAUUUUUCUAUUAAUGAGGAAUAAAAAGAUAAAGUCAAGCAAACCCUAAUCCCCAAAAAUCUCGCUUAUUCUCUGCUUUAAUGCUUACCUUACUCCUCUGGUUGAUAGGACUUAAUGAUUGAAAAGUAGUAGUAAUAGUGGUAGUAAUAGUAAUUGUAGUAGAUAGUAAGGGUACUAAUUUUUUUUUUAAAAAAAUUUGACUUCUGUAGAAAAUGUCAUUUAGAUGUUCAAAGUCCAUUGCAGUUUGCUCUGUUCUUAAAUCCACCAGAGUCAAGUGUUUUUUCCUUGAUCUUGCAUCUGUGUCAACUUUUGAAAAGUCAUUUUCAUAUAAUAAUAAUCUUUGUAAAUUUGUUGGUUUGUGGGAUUUUUCCAUUAAUUAUUUUUGGGUUCCUCACAAUCUUCUUUCUUAUGCAUAAUGAAUGUUGCCCAGUCAAUCAAUAUGCGAGAAUACUAUAGGUGCAUUUAGCGUUAUAUUAUACCUUUGUUUCAUUGAUAAAAAAUUGAUUGCAUAUUUUUAUAAGAUUUGUAUCAAAUAAAUUUGAACUGAAUGUACUUGUGAAAUUUUUUGUAAGAUUAUUUGAAGCACAAUAACCACUCCUUUACAUUCUUUUCAUCUUCAACUUCAUUAUCUUUAUAAUCAUCAUCUAAAGAAUGAUCAACCACUGUCUUACUUUUCUAACUCAGUGUUAAAGUCUCCACGGCACUGCGUCUAAUUGAUUAGGUAUUGGGCAUGUUAAGAAUAAAAUAACCUCACUCCCACAUGUUUCCGGAUGAAAGUUUCACACGAAAUAUGUCGUCUAUCUCGAAAUUUUGAAAAUCAAUUAAAAGCUACGAACUAAAACUUCAUAAGUUGAACCAGAUUCAAUUAAUUCAAAAUUUUUCCUCGUAGAGAAUGUAAACCGGUGGUAUAAAGAAUUAAUUAUCCUAGAGGAAAAAGAUGCCAGAGAUGGAUUUUAUUCCACUCGAGAAUUUGAGCAAGGAGCUUGAAAAAAAUGAGCAAAAUGAACUCAACAUUAGUGAAGAAAUAUGGUUAGUUAUAUUCAUUCAACUUAUUAAAAUAAUACCUCUUGAUUUAUCAUUGUAUUCAUGUGGAGCAACCAAUGAGUUGAUUUUAGAAAAUAAAGUGUUACUCAUUGAGAUAGUGAAGUAGAGAGAUAGAAGAAUAUAUUUAAUGAUAUAUAAGUGCUGUACUAAUAAAAGCACUUGCAUAUAUUUAAAUAAAUAAAUAUAAAACAUAUUUUUCCUAUACCAUUUUUCUUGUGUAUUUUAAUCUAGAAAAAGGUCGAUCUCCUCCGAUGGAGUGGUCGGUUGUAGCGCUAUCCCUAUGAUCAAGAGGUUCCAGCGGGUCGAUUGUUGAAUCGUUAUCGAAUGAAAUCGAUCGAUAACUCCCUAUCUUAACAAUGCUAUAAAUCGAUCAAGGUCACUCGAUAGCGAUUCAACAAUCGACCCGCAGAGUUUGUUUUUGGCCGGGCAACCCGAGUUUGAUAGUCCAUAGCAAUUAAUUGGUUGCCAGCGGGUCGAUUGUUGAAUCGCUAUCGAAUGACCUUGAUCGAUAUAUAGCAUUGUUAAGAUAGGGAGUUAUCGAUCGAUUUCAUUCGAUAACGAUUCAACAAUCGACCCGCCGGUCGUUAUUGAGAAGGAGCGGUGAUUGAAAUAUGGGAUGGGGUCAAAGCGGAGGAUUACCUCAAAGUAUAGUUAUUUGAAUGGACUACCAGACAUAAUACGAAUUUAAGCAUACUGAUAUACGUUUCCUCUUGAAAAUUUGACACACAUCAGAAAACGAUUUCGGAAUGGGUAUUACUUAAAAAGGAUAUUUUUCAUUUUCAUGCUAUGCUAUACUGUUCGGCAAGAAAGCCGUAAGUGCCAUGUCCUGCAUGCUUCCAUGGUUGCAUUUUGGGCACACAACAAACACGUUUUCAGGUUAGAAAUCGGCAGAGGGCGGCACAUUAGUUGAAAGCACUGUUUUCAUUGGCUCUCGGGAGGAAUAUUGUCACUUUCUGCUAUCUUGCUUAAAACUACGUCAUAUUUUGCGCACUUGCGGCUUUGUCAUAUGUCUCGUUUUCAUAUAGUUAAGUUGAAUUUCGCUGUUUUACACUGAAAAAAAGUAGCUUGGAUCAAGCAUGAUUAUUCUUGAAUUUGCCGGCAAGAAUUUUUUUUAUCUUGCUUUAAGCUGACUUUGUCUUGAUACAAGAAAAAUAAUGCUCGGGUUGAGCAAAAAAGUGGCUUAUAUUAAUCAGAAAAAUUUUUGAUUUAAGAAUAAAUACUUCUUGGCGGCAAAUUUAAGGUUCUUUUUUUUUCAGUGUAGCUAUUUCAGUGAUUUCAUCUAAAAGAGAUCAGACUAAUUUCGAAAAUUUGACACUACUGCUCUCUUUGCUAUCACAACAGUACCUAUAGGUACUCUACUGAACACUGAACGAAUGAAUAUUCGUUAAAAUAUGCGAGCGCAUAAUCAUCAGGUUAGAAAUCGGCAGAAGAGGGUGGCACUCUACUUGAAAGCACUGUUUUCAUUCGCUCUCCGGGGGAAUAAUGUCACUUAUUGCUGUCUAACCUGAACCUGCGUCAUUUUUUGCACAUUUAUGGCUUUUUAAUACGUCUCAUUUUUAAACAAUUAGAUGAAUUUUGCUGUCUCAGCUAUUUCAGUGAUUUAAUCUAAAAGAGAUUAGAAAAAUUUUGAAGGAGACUCGAUUUCGAAAAUUUGACACUUACUGCUCUCUUGGCUGUCGCGGCAGGAUGUUUAAAUUCGCGCCUUUGCUAGUGGUCCAUUUGUGCGUUGCGUCAAAAUCAUACUGCUUUUGCGUCGGAAAUAAAGGACCACACCACGUAGAGCGGCAGCGCGCGAAUGAAAAAGGAAAGUGGAUGACGGUGAUGUAAUUCGUAAGCGGUUACUGUUCUUCCUUCGGGCGUUUCCGCUCACCGCGUGCAUUCGGAGGGUGAUGACAUAUUCGCGGCGGCGCGGUGGUGUGUAGUCGUCAAGGUGAAGGCCCUCUCCCGUACCGGUUUACUGAACCGCUAUGCUGCUGUGAUAAGGAAGAACGCCGUACGAGCCUUCAGACGUUGCCAGAAUUUCUCAGACAAAUCACGAGUCUAAAUUCAAUCUAAAUCCUCUCUAUUCUAAUAAAAUCAUUUUUAAGACGCUCGGUUGACGCGGUGAGGUGGGGGGAGUAAGAGGUCCAACGGUCGAAUUCCAAAUAUGAAGAAUAAAAAUUCAGGGUAAGGAGAAAGUCGUUGAGAAUAUUGUUCGGCGGGAAAUUUUUCUUUGAAACGUCGUUUUGUUAUUCUAAUAAAUUAUUUGCUCAUUAACCGUCAACGGGCGAUUUCGACGAUUUCGCUGCCCGCGAAGCGGCUUUUGGGGACGCGCAGCGCCUCGGGGGUUGGACCGCGUAGCGGUCAGGGGGGCGGAGCCUCCUGCUUCGUGAAUAUUUUCACGUCAAUUUUUCAGGGAGUUUAGUUCGUACUUUGAUCCGAAGUGUCUGAAAAUUUCAAGAGAAAACACUCAUGACUUUCUUCAAAAUUAACAAUUUUCUGAGAGGAAAUUUGGCAACAUUCGAAUGCUCAUGCUCAUUGAAUUGAUCAACAAAUCCGUGAAUCUAUCGAC
Molecule: long non-coding RNA, 4412 nt
Filed under: Bemisia tabaci
Lineage: Eukaryota; Metazoa; Arthropoda; Insecta; Hemiptera; Aleyrodidae
Description: lncRNA ENSSWEETPG008825
Source: RNAcentral